RNAcentral lists this long non-coding RNA (1085 nucleotides) under Chrysemys picta bellii (western painted turtle). RNAcentral's name for it is "lncRNA (ENSCPBG00000005164.1)". The record is from RNAcentral. Lineage: Eukaryota; Metazoa; Chordata; Testudines; Emydidae.
GUUUGUCCUUAAUUCUUUCUCUUUUCCUGCUGAAACCCAAACUAACUGUUUCUCCUAAAGUAGGGUUGUUGCAGAGAUUACAGAAAAAAUAUCUUAUUAUAGGCCAAGAAUUUCAACCGCUGCUUCAGGAACCAUCUAGAAGAGGGGAAAGAAAAUGUUGACUCUUUGAUGAAAGAAUUGCAGGAGAAGUUCCUGAAUAAUAGUGAGAUUAAAAAGUGCUAUGAGAAAGUAAAUAAAAUUGGAAAUGUGCUGGUGGAUCACUUGGUACAUGGCAAAUCUUCAACGGAGACAAGUGGGACCAAUCCUACAAUAAAACAACAGGAGAACAUCUGGAAGGGAAAAGUCAAUCAUACAGGACAUCCUCCCAAGGACACCUGUCUUCAUGCCCUUAAACAAAUAACCUGUAUAUUUAGUUAAGGGGGAUUGGAGGCUGGGGAUCUGCUUCUCUAAAUUGUGUGCUUCCCACUGAUCUCCUUGCAAGAGAACAUGAUCUAAUGACGAUCAGUACUUCUGAAUGCCUAAUGACCCCCCAUGGGAGAUCGAGAGGGAGCUGCACUGAGUGAGAGCCAAUCGUAGUACAGCAGAAUGCAAUAUCCAUAAACUGACUGUAGGACAAUAUUCCUGCCUUAUUAGAGAACAAAACUAACCUGUUGGAAUUGUCUUUGCUCAGCUCUUUGUUCCAUGCUCAAGGUCUGGAAUCUAGUUUAAUAUUAAACCGCAUCUUAUAGGAGAAGAUGACCUCACCCAGAAUCCAACCCAUUAGCUAACAUGUGUCAGGUCUUUUUUAAAGACAUUUUCAUGGAACUUUAAGUGAAUUCUCCAAGAAUAAUUUGGGAUCCUCAUCCUGCCAAAAUUAACUCGGUUCAAGUUUAUUCUGAGUGCUUUGAUAGCACUGGUCUACAAUUUUUGAGAAGUCGUCUGCUUCAGAGAUAAAAUGUGCUAUUUAUUAUGUAUUUUGAUGUGCUGAAUUCAAAUAUGACAAUUAAAACAACUGAUUGGCUACUGUUUCUAAGAUAUUUAAGUUUUUACAUUUUAUGUCUAUGUAUAUUGUGUAUAUAGUAGAGUUUUAAUCAUAAAUUGUAAAC